GUCAUUGUAGCAAUACAAGGCAGACGGCUCAUUAACGCGUAGUCAACCUAACCUAUGGACGGGAAUAACCUCGGGAAACUGAGAAUAAUGCCCGAUAGAACACUAUACCUGGAAUGGUUUGUGUUCCAAAUGAUUUAUCGCCGUAGGAUGGGACUGCGGCCUAUCAGUUUGUUGGUGAGGUAAUGGCCCACCAAGACUAUUACAGGUACGGGCUCUGAGAGGAGUAGCCCGGAGAUGGGUACUGAGACACGGACCCAGGCCCUAUGGGGCGCAGCAGGCGAGAAAACUUUGCAAUGUGCGAAAGCACGACAAGGUUAAUCCGAGUGAUUUGUGCUAAACGAAUCUUUUGUUAGUCCUAGAACCACUAACGAAUAAGGGGUGGGCAAGUUCUGGUGUCAGCCGCCGCGGUAAAACCAGCACCUCAAGUGGUCAGGAUGAUUAUUGGGCCUAAAGCAUCCGUAGCCGGCUCUGUAAGUUUUCGGUUAAAUCUGUACGCUUAACGUACAGGCUGCCGGGAAUACUGCAGAGCUAGGGAGUGGGAGAGGUAGACGGUACUCUGUAGGAAGGGGUAAAAUCCUUUGAUCUAUCAAUGACCACCUG
Molecule: ribosomal RNA, 600 nt
Filed under: uncultured archaeon
Lineage: Archaea
Description: bacterial SSU rRNA
Rfam family: Archaeal small subunit ribosomal RNA
Source: RNAcentral